AUCAUUACAUGGUGAUGAUGGGCGCUUCGUCCUCAUCAGGUUAUGCCCUCGGGCAUAGCUUCUCACCCUUGCUUAUGCGUACCCUUUGUUGUUUCCUCGGCAGGCUUGCCUGUCGCUAGGAACCCCCAUAAACCUUUUGCAAUAGCCUAUAUUCUUCUGAUAAUAAUCUAAAUUAUUACAACUUUCAACAAUGGAUCUCUUGGUUCUGGCAUCGAUGAAGAACGCAGCGAAAUGCGAUAAGUAGUGUGAAUUGCAGAAUUCAGUGAAUCAUCGAAUCUUUGAACGCACAUUGCGCCCCUUGGUAUUCCAUGGGGCAUGCCUGUUCGAGCGUCAUUUACCCCCUCAAGCUUUGCUUGGUGUUGGGCGUCUGUCCCGCCUUUUGCGCGUGGACUCGCCCCAAAGGCAUUGGCAGCGGUCUUGCCAGCUUCUCGCGCAGCACUUUGCGCUUCUUGAAGCAACUGGCGGAUUUCAGCAUCCAUCAAGCCCUCUUUUUUUUUAACUUGACCUCGGAUCAGGUAGGGAUACCCGCUGAACUUAAGCAUAUCAAUAAGCGGAGGAAAAGAAACCAACUGGGAUUGCCCUAGUAACGGCGAGUGAAGCGGCAACAGCUCAAAUUUGAAAUCUGGCCUCUUUGGGGUCCGAGUUGUAAUUUGCAGAGGGUGCUUUGGUGUUGGUGGCGGUCUAAGUUCCUUGGAACAGGACAUCGCAGAGGGUGAGAAUCCCGUAUGUGGUCGCCUGCCUUCGCCGUGUAAAGCCCCUUCGAUGAGUCGAGUUGUUUGGGAAUGCAGCUCUAAAUGGGAGGUAAAUUUCUUCUAAAGCUAAAUACCGGCCAGAGACCGAUAGCGCACAAGUAGAGUGAUCGAAAGAUGAAAAGCACUUUGGAAAGAGAGUCAAAUAGCACGUGAAAUUGUUGAAAGGGAAGCGCUUGCAGUCAGACUUGCCCGUAGUUGCUCAUCUAGGCUUUUGCCUGGAGCACUCUUCUGCGGGCAGGCCAGCAUCAGUUUGGGCGGCUGGAUAAAGGCCUCUGUCAUGUAUCUCCCUUCGGGGUGACCUUAUAGGGGAGGCGUAAUGCAGCCAGCCUGGACUGAGGUCCGCGCA
This 1098-nucleotide ribosomal RNA is filed under the name uncultured fungus. Its description in RNAcentral is "eukaryotic LSU rRNA". The stretch from base 502 to 1098 matches the Rfam family "Eukaryotic large subunit ribosomal RNA", at positions 1 to 601 of the family's 3401-position model. Lineage: Eukaryota; Fungi. The record is from RNAcentral.